CACACUAAUGUGGAGCAGUCGUUUUGUCACAACAGUAUGUGUGCGUGGUGAGACGGUGAGAGACACUCACUUUGCUUUCUCCGCCGCACGCCGCCGGCCGCCUUGUGUGGAGCAGGGCGCACGCCGCCGGCUGCCUUCUCUCGAGCAGGGCGCAUCCUCUCCCGCCACGACGUCUUCUGCCCCCCCUCCCCCUCCCCGCACCACCACCACCACCACCACGGCCUCACCCCGUCUCCUAUCCCCACGACGGCCUCGCCUCGCCGGCUCUUAUCCCCACCACGGCCUCGCCCCGCCGCCUCCUCUCACCACCGCGGACUUGUCUCGCCGCCAACCCCGUGGAUCUUCCCUAGAUCGACUCUGCCGCCGCCAUCAUACUGCCGCAGAGCAGAUCGAGAUGCGAGAUGCUGGACACGAUGCGGGAGCAGGCAUCUUGAAUUGGACCGAGAUCCAGUGCGUCGACCUCACACAGUCUCUCCGGGAAGGAGUUCGCAGCUCGCGUAGGUGUUCGGUUGCUGAAGGCACCUUCACCACAUUGUCAUUCAUUUGUGAGAUGUUUCUGUUUCUCUAUGUUGGCAUGGAUGCAUUGGAUAUAGAGAUUUGGAAGAUUGUUAGCGGAACACAUAUACAGGCAACUGCGGGGACUACCAACAGGCGGCGUACCUGCUACGUGUUGGUGAUGAGCAAGCUAGCCAAGGGGCAGCAUAGUGAAUCGAUGAAGAAGCUGGAAUCCUAAUAGGAGGAAUAUUUUCAACUAGUUUGUCGCAUGUUGGAGGAGGCUUGAAGUGGCGGUCGUAACACAGUCAGUUGGGAGGACCCAACGCCAGAGUCAAAAUUGUUGACAUUUUCUUUGUUAGAAACGGCUGUAUCUGGUGUUCUUAAUGAAGCUGGACCAUGAAGUGGAGUUAGAUCACUCAUUAUCACAUCAACAGUUGUAGGACAACACAUGACCUUCAGCGGCUGUUGUGUGUUGUUGGUGGGUGACAGCAGACUGCACACUUGGCCUCUCCACAGUGUCUAAAUCUGUCAGAAAUAACACUUAAUCAACAUGAUUUUACUUGUCAUUCACGACAUGCAUGAUAAAGGACAGGUAAAAUGGAGUAACCAGGUGACAUGGCCCCGGAUGGCUUUGAUGGAGUGUUGGUUCCAGUUACAAUAGCGGUGGGGUGAUGACACCGGAGGUAGGGCAGCACGCCGGCUGGAGGCCGUCCACCGGGUGGAGGACGUCGCGGGCGCCUGGGGCGAGGGCGGCAUCGCGAAGAUGCCGGGGUGAGGAGAGGCAGCAAGUUGGGUGGAGGAUGUCCAGCGGGUCGAGGACGUCGCGGAGACCAGGGGCGAGGACGGCGGGGCGGCUGGCCGAGCGAGGCGGGGCUGAUGGCCGAGGGAAAAUAAUGUUUGGUCUUUUAAUAGUAAGUAUAGAUAUAGAUAUAGAUAUAGAUAUAGAAUAGAAGAAUAGAAGUAUAGAAGCCCCGGUUCCCUCCUUCGGCCAUGGGUUGUCAAAAAACUCGGAAAUUGUAUCCAGAGUCCAAGACACGUUCCAUCUUCGUUUUCUUUCUCCUCUUUCCCCACUAGACAAAUUGUGAAAACUUUCAUAGAAAUUUUAAUGGAUGCUUAUCAAGCUAGUAUAUGCAAACUUACC
Triticum urartu is the source of this 1636-nucleotide non-coding RNA. NCBI's taxonomy places the organism in Eukaryota, Viridiplantae, Streptophyta, Magnoliopsida, Poales, Poaceae. The record is from RefSeq and is a predicted model, not a curated record.